Molecule: transfer RNA, 74 nt
Filed under: Zygnema circumcarinatum
Lineage: Eukaryota; Viridiplantae; Streptophyta; Zygnematophyceae; Zygnematales; Zygnemataceae
Description: tRNA-Pro
Rfam family: tRNA
About the family: Transfer RNA (tRNA) molecules are approximately 80 nucleotides in length. Their secondary structure includes four short double-helical elements and three loops (D, anti-codon, and T loops). Further hydrogen bonds mediate the characteristic L-shaped molecular structure. tRNAs have two regions of fundamental functional importance: the anti-codon, which is responsible for specific mRNA codon recognition, and the 3' end, to which the tRNAs corresponding amino acid is attached (by aminoacyl-tRNA synthetases). tRNAs cope with the degeneracy of the genetic code in two manners: having more than one tRNA (with a specific anti-codon) for a particular amino acid; and 'wobble' base-pairing, i.e. permitting non-standard base-pairing at the 3rd anti-codon position.
Source: RNAcentral
CGGAGCAUAGCGCAGUUUGGUAGCGUACCAUCUUGGGGUGGUGGAGGCCGUGGGUUCAAAUCCCGCUGCUCCGA